This is a long non-coding RNA of Drosophila montana, 806 nucleotides long. RefSeq lists it as uncharacterized. Lineage: Eukaryota; Metazoa; Arthropoda; Insecta; Diptera; Drosophilidae. The transcript is spliced from 2 exons. The record is from RefSeq and is a predicted model, not a curated record.
UGAGUAACCAACGGAACGCGUUUUUGCAGUUUAACGCAAAGAUAAACGCACACGAACAGGUGACAAGAGCGUCUGAUUGAUGCGAUACACGGAAGAGCAGUGCAGCAAUAUUGCUGAUAAUUAUUAAUCAGCUAGCCAGAAGCGACCGGACGGGCCGGCAGGCCGGCCGCAAGAUCUGGAACUGGAUAAGCGGCAUUUCAAGUGCGCAACGGUAAAUAGCAAAAUUACAAAAGCCACGCAAGACGCGAUGGACAAACAAAUGAACGAGCGAACCAAACAGCUGUGCUCGUCUUUUGACGGACAUACGGUAAAUUCCGAUAGACAACGAUUUCGUUGAGCGCUUCAGCUUAUCAGCUGUAGACGGAGACAGAAUAGCGGCACAUGGAAAAACGAUUAUGUAAACGACAGCAGGCCAAUGGAAACGUUGAAUGGCAUCCAGAAGUACAACUCGAAGCGAAUUGAGCUAACAGACGAAAGCCCUGCCCAUGCCCUGCGGCGCGUCGCCGUUGGUUGGCAAACUCUUUUGAAAUGCACACACAUCGACGACGCACGCGGAAUGACAAAAGCGGACAAUUGCCCCAACUACUGGCGAAUGCUCCAAAAACAGCUGUGCGCUGUGUGAAUGUCAAACGUUGAGGCGAAUGGCAAAAUCAGUGUGACCAGCGACGUUCACACUAAAAUGGACAUAUUUGAGCUGACAUUUAUUGGGUAAAUUAUAUUAAAUCAUAUUCAUCUUGAAUAACAAUCAAUUGUUUAGGUUUCAUAUUAACACAGACCACAUUAAAGAAAACAUUUUAGAAACUAAA